GAUCCUGGCUCAGGACGAACGCUGGCGGCGUGCCUAAUACAUGCAAGUCGAACGCUUCUUUUUCCACCGGAGCUUGCUCCACCGGAAAAAGAGGAGUGGCGAACGGGUGAGUAACACGUGGGUAACCUGCCCAUCAGAAGGGGAUAACACUUGGAAACAGGUGCUAAUACCGUAUAACAAUCGAAACCGCAUGGUUUUGAUUUGAAAGGCGCUUUCGGGUGUCGCUGAUGGAUGGACCCGCGGUGCAUUAGCUAGUUGGUGAGGUAACGGCUCACCAAGGCGACGAUGCAUAGCCGACCUGAGAGGGUGAUCGGCCACAUUGGGACUGAGACACGGCCCAAACUCCUACGGGAGGCAGCAGUAGGGAAUCUUCGGCAAUGGACGAAAGUCUGACCGAGCAACGCCGCGUGAGUGAAGAAGGUUUUCGGAUCGUAAAACUCUGUUGUUAGAGAAGAACAAGGAUGAGAGUAACUGUUCAUCCCUUGACGGUAUCUAACCAGAAAGCCACGGCUAACUACGUGCCAGCAGCCGCGGUAAUACGUAGGUGGCAAGCGUUGUCCGGAUUUAUUGGGCGUAAAGCGAGCGCAGGCGGUUUCUUAAGUCUGAUGUGAAAGCCCCCGGCUCAACCGGGGAGGGUCAUUGGAAACUGGGAGACUUGAGUGCAGAAGAGGAGAGUGGAAUUCCAUGUGUAGCGGUGAAAUGCGUAGAUAUAUGGAGGAACACCAGUGGCGAAGGCGGCUCUCUGGUCUGUAACUGACGCUGAGGCUCGAAAGCGUGGGGAGCAAACAGGAUUAGAUACCCUGGUAGUCCACGCCGUAAACGAUGAGUGCUAAGUGUUGGAGGGUUUCCGCCCUUCAGUGCUGCAGCUAACGCAUUAAGCACUCCGCCUGGGGAGUACGACCGCAAGGUUGAAACUCAAAGGAAUUGACGGGGGCCCGCACAAGCGGUGGAGCAUGUGGUUUAAUUCGAAGCAACGCGAAGAACCUUACCAGGUCUUGACAUCCUUUGACCACUCUAGAGAUAGAGCUUCCCCUUCGGGGGCAAAGUGACAGGUGGUGCAUGGUUGUCGUCAGCUCGUGUCGUGAGAUGUUGGGUUAAGUCCCGCAACGAGCGCAACCCUUAUUGUUAGUUGCCAUCAUUUAGUUGGGCACUCUAGCAAGACUGCCGGUGACAAACCGGAGGAAGGUGGGGAUGACGUCAAAUCAUCAUGCCCCUUAUGACCUGGGCUACACACGUGCUACAAUGGGAAGUACAACGAGUCGCAAAGUCGCGAGGCUAAGCUAAUCUCUUAAAGCUUCUCUCAGUUCGGAUUGUAGGCUGCAACUCGCCUACAUGAAGCCGGAAUCGCUAGUAAUCGCGGAUCAGCACGCCGCGGUGAAUACGUUCCCGGGCCUUGCACACACCGCCCGUCAA
RNAcentral lists this ribosomal RNA (1413 nucleotides) under uncultured bacterium. Its description in RNAcentral is "bacterial SSU rRNA". It matches the Rfam family "Bacterial small subunit ribosomal RNA". The record is from RNAcentral.